ACAGAGGUCCCGAGCGUUGUUCGGAUUCACUGGGCGUAAAGGGUGCGUAGGUGGUGAGGUAAGUCGGAUGUGAAAGCUCCGAGCUCAACUCGGAAAUGGCAUUGGAAACUACCUUGCUGGAGGGUUUGAGGGGGGACUGGAAUUCUCGGUGUAGCAGUGAAAUGCGUAGAUAUCGGGAGGAACAUCCGUGGCGAAGGCGGCUACCUGGACCAGCACUGACACUGAGGCACGAAAGCGUGGGGAGCAAACAGGA
Molecule: ribosomal RNA, 253 nt
Filed under: uncultured prokaryote
Description: partial 16S ribosomal RNA
Rfam family: Bacterial small subunit ribosomal RNA
Source: RNAcentral